GUGAGGAAUAUUGCGCAAUGGAGGCAACUCUGACGCAGCCAUGCCGCGUGCAGGAAGAAGGCGCUACGCGUUGUAAACUGCUUUUAACCGGGAAGAAACCCCAGGACGUGUCCUGGGUUGACGGUACCGGAGGAAUAAGCACCGGCUAACUUCGUGCCAGCAGCCGCGGUAAUACGAAGGGUGCAAGCGUUAUCCGGAUUCAUUGGGUUUAAAGGGUGCGUAGGCGGAGCGUUAAGUCAGUGGUGAAAUCCUGCAGCUUAACUGUAGACUUGCCAUUGAUACUGGCGCUCUUGAGUGCGCUUGAAGUGGGCGGAAUGUGCCGUGUAGCGGUGAAAUGCUUAGAUAUGGAACAGAACACCAAUUGCGAAGGCAGCUCACUAAGGCGAUACUGACGCUGAGGCACGAAAGCGUGGGGAUCGAACAGGAUUAGAUACCCUGGUAGUCC
This 445-nucleotide ribosomal RNA is filed under the name uncultured bacterium. RNAcentral's name for it is "partial 16S ribosomal RNA". It matches the Rfam family "Bacterial small subunit ribosomal RNA", at positions 354 to 796 of the family's 1533-position model. The record is from RNAcentral.